Molecule: ribosomal RNA, 473 nt
Filed under: uncultured bacterium
Lineage: Bacteria
Description: bacterial SSU rRNA
Rfam family: Bacterial small subunit ribosomal RNA
Source: RNAcentral
AACGAACGCUGGCGGCAGGCCUAACACAUGCAAGUCGAACGCCCGUAGCAAUACGGGAGUGGCAGACGGGUGAGUAACGCGUGGGAACGUGCCCUUCGGUUCGGAAUAACUCAGGGAAACUUGAGCUAAUACCGGAUACGUCCGUAAGGAGAAAGAUUUAUCGCCGAAGGAUCGGCCCGCGUCGGAUUAGCUAGUUGGUGAGGUAACGGCCCACCAAGGCGACGAUCCGUAGCUGGUCUGAGAGGAUGAUCAGCCACACUGGACUGAGACACGGCCCAGACUCCUACGGGAGGCAGCAGUGGGAAUUUUGGGCAAUGGGCGAAAGCCUGACCCAGCAACGCCGCGUGAGGGAGGAAAUCCUUCGGGAUGUAAACCUCACAAGCAAGGGAAGAGAGCUCAGGGCCGAAUAAGCUUUGAGUCCGACGGUACCUUGCGUAAGCCACGGCUAACUACGUGCCAGCCGCCGCGGUAAC